Molecule: transfer RNA, 73 nt
Filed under: Stegodyphus mimosarum
Lineage: Eukaryota; Metazoa; Arthropoda; Arachnida; Araneae; Eresidae
Rfam family: tRNA
About the family: Transfer RNA (tRNA) molecules are approximately 80 nucleotides in length. Their secondary structure includes four short double-helical elements and three loops (D, anti-codon, and T loops).
Source: Rfam by way of RNAcentral
GCCUCCGUGGUGUAGUGGUUAGCACGCUCGGCGCGUAUUCGAGAGGUCCGUGGUUCGAGUCCCGUCGAGGGCA